AGCGAACGCUGCGGCAUGCUUAACACAUGCAAGUCGCACGGCGGGGCAACUCCGUCAGUGGCGACGGGUGAGUAACGCGUAGGAAUCUAUCCUUGAAUGGGGGACAACCGUGGGAAACUACGGCUAAUACCGCAUGAUGCCUGAGGGCCAAAGACGAAAGUCGUUUGAGGAGGAGCCUGCGUCUGAUUAGGUAGUUGGUGGGUAAAGGCCUACAAGCCCUGCGAUCAGUAGCUGGUCUGAGAGGAUGAUCAGCCACAUUGGGACUGAGACACGGCCCAAACUCCUACGGGAGGCAGCAGUGGGGAAUAUUGGACAGUGGGCGCAAGCCUGAUCCAGCAAUGCCGCGUGGGUGAAGAAGGUCUUCGGAUUGUAAAGCCCUUUUGGCGGGGACGAUGAUGACGGUACCCGCAGAAUAAGCUCCGGCUAACUUCGUG
Molecule: ribosomal RNA, 434 nt
Filed under: uncultured bacterium
Lineage: Bacteria
Description: bacterial SSU rRNA
Rfam family: Bacterial small subunit ribosomal RNA
Source: RNAcentral